UACGAGGGAUCCUAGCGUUGUUCGGAAUCAUUGGGCGUAAAGAGUAUGUAGGCGGCCUAGUAAGUCAGUUGUGAAAGCCCCGGGCUCAACCCGGGAAGUGCAAUUGAUACUGCUUGGCUUGAAUGUGGAAGAGGGCAGUAGAAUUCCAGGUGUAGUGGUGAAAUGCGUAGAUAUCUGGAGGAACACCGGUGGCGAAGGCGGCAUCCUGGACCGGUAUUGACGCUGAGGCGCGAAAGCCAGGGGAGCAAACGGG
RNAcentral lists this ribosomal RNA (253 nucleotides) under uncultured bacterium. RNAcentral describes it as "partial 16S ribosomal RNA". It matches the Rfam family "Bacterial small subunit ribosomal RNA", at positions 524 to 776 of the family's 1533-position model. The record is from RNAcentral.